RNAcentral lists this non-coding RNA (180 nucleotides) under bovine gut metagenome. RNAcentral's name for it is "6S / SsrS RNA". It matches the Rfam family "6S / SsrS RNA". From Rfam's summary of the family: E. coli 6S RNA was the first non coding RNA to be sequenced, but its function was unknown until recently. It consists of 184 nucleotides that fold into an extended hairpin structure with a large single-stranded internal bulge. The record is from RNAcentral.
AUCCUGCCGUGUUCGAUAAUCAUUAGCAUUUAUGACCCAACACACUAUUUAUAGGGAUUUGCCUUGGGCGGCGGAUUGCAGACCUCCCGCGCAGCGGACGAAGGGAGCGUGAACCCGAACAGACAUCACCCACCUGUUUACACGCAGGUUAUUAUCUGCAGUGAACCGGCACGGCGGGAC